Molecule: long non-coding RNA, 1081 nt
Organism: Bubalus bubalis (water buffalo)
Lineage: Eukaryota; Metazoa; Chordata; Mammalia; Artiodactyla; Bovidae
Exons: 3
Source: RefSeq, a predicted model, not a curated record
UGGGUAAACUCCGGGAGUUGGUGAUGAACAGGGAGGCCUGGCGUGCUGCGAUUCAUGGGGUGGCAAAGAGUCGGACUCGACUGAGUGACUGAACUGAACUGAACUGAAAAGCAACACAAUUACAAUAAAGAACAUUUUGGCUUGUCAACUUUGUGCCAGGUGGCUCCUCAGUGCUUUAUGUUCAUGGUUCUCAUUCUGUUCUCAGGACCUUGCCAUGAGUUAAUUGCUCCUUGUUUUCUCAUUUUACAGAUGCUGAGGCUGAGACUCAGAGAGUUCUAAAUAGGAUUCCUGAAGUCUCAGAGAGGCAAGGUGGGAAGAAGGUUCAAAUCUAAUGCUGAUCCUCCAAAGCACAUUCUCUUCUCUUGUUCCCAGGGCCACACUGGCAGGGAGCAUACUCACUUAGAAAGUGGCCAGUGGUCAUUUCCACUUGAAGAUGGAAUAUCCUUGUCAUCUUUUGCAUAAUAGGAGGCUUUAUUUACCAGAUACUGACUAAGGAAGUCAUUCCUGACUGCACCACCCACCACUCUGCUUUAUCUUUCACCUGGAGGCAACCAUGAAGAAAUCAGAGAAUGGGAAUGGUUGCUGGCUCCUGGUUUGAACAAUUUAUUUGACCUCAUUUAACCUUAGGGUUUUUUCCUACAAUACAGAAAUGGUAAACAGUGCCUCCUUCAGACCAUCAUCAUUAGGAUUAAAUAAAAUAAUGCAUGUAAGUACUCAAUAAAUGUAAACCAUUAUUACAUGUAAUUUACCACAACACUACUUGCCAUAAUUUAAUUGUUUUUGUUUUAAUUAUUGGGGCUUCCCUUGUGGCUCAGCUGGUAAAGAAUUCACCUGCAAUGUGGGAGACCUGGGUUUGAUCCCUGGGUUGGGAAGAUCCCCUAGAGAAGGGAAUUAUUAUUAUCUUGAAACUCCCUUCAAUAAAUGUUGAAUUAGAAUUCUUUUUCAUACUCUUGCCAUAAUAAAUAUUUACCAAGAAGAAAUAUAUUUAUUUUAAAAUAGAGCUGAAUUAUUAAACAAACAUCAGUGAAUCAAUAUCAAUUCUAAUGUUUGCUUUUUUACUCAUUAAAAGUUUGUAUAAGCU